GACGAACGCUGGCGGCGUGCUUAACACAUGCCAGUCGAACGGAAAGGCCCUGCUUUUGUGGGGUGCUCGAGUGGCGAACGGGUGAGUAACACGUGAGUAACCUGCCCUUGACUUUGGGAUAACUUCAGGAAACUGGGGCUAAUACCGGAUAGGAGCUCCUGCUGCAUGGUGGGGGUUGGAAAGUUUCGGCGGUUGGGGAUGGACUCGCGGCUUAUCAGCUUGUUGGUGGGGUAGUGGCCUACCAAGGCUUUGUCGGGUAGCCGGCCUGAGAGGGUGACCGGCCACAUUGGGACUGAGAUACGGCCCAGACUCCUACGGGAGGCAGCAGUGGGGAAUAUUGCACAAUGGGCGGAAGCCUGAUGCAGCAACGCCGCGUGCGGGAUGACGGCCUUCGGGUUGUAAACCGCUUUCGCCUGUGACGAAGCGUGAGUGACGGUAAUGGGUAAAGAAGCACCGGCUAACUACGUG
RNAcentral lists this ribosomal RNA (468 nucleotides) under uncultured bacterium. Its description in RNAcentral is "partial 16S ribosomal RNA". It matches the Rfam family "Bacterial small subunit ribosomal RNA", at positions 28 to 507 of the family's 1533-position model. The record is from RNAcentral.